This is a long non-coding RNA of Mastomys coucha (southern multimammate mouse), 217 nucleotides long. RefSeq lists it as uncharacterized. The record is from RefSeq and is a predicted model, not a curated record. The transcript has 2 exons. Lineage: Eukaryota; Metazoa; Chordata; Mammalia; Rodentia; Muridae.
AAGGAAGGCACGUUUUUCUCAGAAGAUGAAGCUGUAUUUCUGGGUAUUUUCGGUUUUAUAGAUUUCAGGAAAGACAUCAUCGAAGGAAGAACUGUGAUGGAUGCCCUCCGUGAGACAUGAGCACAAGGCUUGAAACAGCCUCAUCUACCACAAAGCUACUGCCAGAGCCAUCUAAAAUGUUUCUCUGCUAUAAAAAUAAAAUAUAUGAAGAACAAGC